Magnolia sinica is the source of this 1223-nucleotide long non-coding RNA. RefSeq lists it as uncharacterized. The record is from RefSeq and is a predicted model, not a curated record. NCBI's taxonomy places the organism in Eukaryota, Viridiplantae, Streptophyta, Magnoliopsida, Magnoliales, Magnoliaceae. The transcript is spliced from 4 exons.
UGUUGAUAGGUUCUCGGGGCUUGGGGAUUGGGCUGGGAAAUUUCGAUGGAUGAGAUGGAGGUUACACAAUUCACAUGCUUCCGGCAUGUAUCUUAAAUCCUUUUUAUAAAUUUUAUGUGUUGUGGGAGAUCUGAGCUGUGAAUCAGAUAGGAUCCAUUUGUGAAGAUCACCUGGCACAAAAGUCAGCUAGGUUCAUUCAUCUGGCAGCCACAUUGAGGUUAAGUGAAUAUAUUUUAUCUAUGUUUAAGUGAAUUUUAUGUUCAAAACCAAGAUUUGCCUGAUACAGGAUGGUGAAAAGACACCCAAGUCUCCAUCUCCAAAUCCUUUGCUCCUUUCCAACCCUUGGAAUCUGCAUUUUCCAAGAUUCCUUUAAGCAUCAGAAAUUCCUCAAUGCAUAUUAGCUUUUGCAGUGGAAUGGCUUAUGGUUCCUUUUGAAGGUAUUAAAAAGUACUCCUAGUGCUCAUUACAAAUGAUAAAUCUGAGUUAGUGAGAGUGAUGGAAAAAGCUAAAGGGAGAGUUCUUUCAUGGGCUUUAGUGCGCAAAGAUUUUACAGGAGUUAAUUAGGAGGAUCUUUGUAGAGAUUGGCUUUGGAAGUUCCGCUACAAGGAGUGCUAUGUAUCACUAAAUGUGCUUCUUUCACCUCCCAUUGUCGUCUAUUCUCCAAGAGUUCUACCGGUGUAUGUUUAUGAUGCUCAUGCUGAUUGUGCCAAAAAUGUCAGUGCUGCGUUCCUUGUUCUAUAUGGCAUUGCUUUGGCAAUUGAGGGAUGGGGUGUUGUUGCUAGUUUGAAAAUAUAUCCACCUUUCGCUGGUGCUGCUGUAUCAGCAAUUACUCUCGUUGUGGCCUUUGGGUUUGCUGUAUCUCGUCCGUACUUGACACUUAAGAUUUACAUUUUAUUGGCAGAUGAUGGAAGAUGUUGUGCAUUUUCUCAGUAAGGAAAUUGUUGUUCAUGCAAUUGCUCGGUCUGCCACUAAAGUGAGUUUGCUUCUGCCUUGAAAUGACUUCUUAGCUAUUAUGUUUCUGAUCUCUUUGUACUCUCAGAUCUUUUCCUGAAUGGAACCGACUGUUGUAUUUGAUUUUUGAAAGUUCAAUUCCAUCUCAUCUGUACGAUUUCUUCAGCAUGGGCAUGUUUCUGUUAUUAACUGGUUUUGAUUAGCGUUCGCAUUUGUAACUGCAAGAAGUGAUACUUAAAUAUUUAAGUUACAUUCUCUUUUCAUUUUCCUAU